GCAUUGGAAACUGAUUUAUUUGAGUGCGAUAGAGGCAAGUGGAACUCCAUGUGUAGCGGUGAAAUGCGUAGAUAUGUGGAAGAACACCAGUGGCGAAAGCGGCUUGCUAGAUCGUAACUGACGUUGAGGCUCGAAAGUAUGGGUAGCAAACGGGAUUAGAUACCCCGGUAGUCCAUACCGUAAACGAUGGGUGCUAGUUGUUAAGAGGUUUCCGCCUCCUAGUGACGUAGCAAACGCAUUAAGCACCCCGCCUGAGGAGUACGGCCGCAAGGCUAAAACUUAAAGGAAUUGACGGGGACCCGCACAAGCGGUGGAGCAUGUGGUUUAAUUCGAAGAUACGCGAAAAACCUUACCAGGUCUUGACAUACCAAUGAUCGCUUUUGUAAUGAAAGCUUUUCUUCGGAACAUUGGAUACAGGUGGUGCAUGGUCGUCGUCAGUUCGUGUCGUGAGAUGUUGGGUUAAGUCCCGCAACGAGCGUAACCCUUG
Molecule: ribosomal RNA, 487 nt
Filed under: Oenococcus oeni
Lineage: Bacteria; Bacillati; Bacillota; Bacilli; Lactobacillales; Lactobacillaceae
Description: bacterial SSU rRNA
Rfam family: Bacterial small subunit ribosomal RNA
Source: RNAcentral